Molecule: ribosomal RNA, 253 nt
Filed under: uncultured bacterium
Lineage: Bacteria
Description: partial 16S ribosomal RNA
Rfam family: Bacterial small subunit ribosomal RNA
Source: RNAcentral
UACGGGGGGAGCGAACGUUGUUCGGAAUUACUGGGCGUAAAGGGCGCGUAGGCGGCCUGUUAAGUCGAACGUGAAAUCCCCGGGCUCAACCCGGGAACUGCGUCCGAUACUGGCAGGCUUGAAUCCGGGAGAGGGAUGUGGAAUUCCAGGUGUAGCGGUGAAAUGCGUAGAUAUCUGGAGGAACACCGGUGGCGAAGGCGGCAUCCUGGACCGGCAUUGACGCUGAGGCGCGAAAGCUAGGGGAGCAAACGGG